CUAAGGAGCAUUCUCCAGGCAGGCCGUCAGAGGAUGGAUCUUGUUCUGGCAGAGGCUGUUUGAGCUCCCAUUCGUGGAGCCGCAGUUGCUCAUGGGUGGAACACUGACAACUUUCAUCGCAUACGAGCUCGGCAAAGUCUGAGUUCGCGAUGGGUAUACCGACACACUAUUGGGUCCUGAAAGAACACGCGAGUGAUCUUUCCAGGCAAGAACGACGAGACUGGUUCUUCAGUCAUACCGCCGGCCGUUUGGUCGGGCUGGUGCUGAGUAGAGAACGAGUCUUGUGUGUUGUUUGAGAACUGCACAGUGGACGCGAGCAUCUUUGUUAGUAAGUGUUUAAGAGCGUAC
Molecule: unclassified non-coding RNA, 348 nt
Filed under: Nocardia asteroides
Lineage: Bacteria; Bacillati; Actinomycetota; Actinomycetes; Mycobacteriales; Nocardiaceae
Description: 16S-23S ribosomal RNA intergenic spacer
Source: RNAcentral